This 700-nucleotide long non-coding RNA is filed under the name Olea europaea (common olive). RNAcentral's name for it is "long non-coding RNA (OEUR_LNC001499)". The record is from RNAcentral. Lineage: Eukaryota; Viridiplantae; Streptophyta; Magnoliopsida; Lamiales; Oleaceae.
UAUGUUGUUAUGUGUCAUUGACAUGUCCAAUUGCAUAAUUCCGCUUGACAUUUUACGUGUCAGUAACGUAUCCAUACAUGUCAACAAAUUGUCUACCAAUGCAAAAUAAAAAAAUAAUUUGGAAAUACCAUCGGAUUUUUUGUCACAUGUCAACAACUUGUCAAUUUCAUGUUUGACUUGGACACUUAGUGGCAAUUUGUCACGAUAUGUUCAAUUAUACUAGUAAAAAAAUGAUUUGGACACAAUUUUUGGUGUGUCCUGACAUGUCAACGAGUUGUCUAAAUGUACAAAACUAAAAAUUGAUUGGUAUAUGCCACUGCUGUAUAUUUGUUGAUGCUGUAUCUGUGUUCGACAAUCGCGAGACGAGGAUGAUGAUGCAUCAUGCAUCCUAGGUUUUAGCAUAUCCCAAAAUAUGUAUUUUGCAUGUUCUAAUUAUAUUUGUAAAAGUUUUUCUUUUAAGUAGAGCUACUGAGAUUGUUUCAUCAAUCUUGUAAAAAAAUGAUUCUUUUAAUGAACACAAUAUAUGUUCUUUAUCAUCAUCAACAUUGGCUCAAUUCAUUAACAUAUUUUAUUCAUUCUAGUGUGAACAUAACUUUAACCGCCCAUCUCCAAUACAUAUAUCUUAUGGACAUUGUCAUUCAACUCAACGCUCAAUAUUAGAAGCAUAAAAGUUCAUUUUACUGAUGAUUUGUUCACUNNN